This 3504-nucleotide long non-coding RNA is filed under the name Equus caballus (horse). RNAcentral describes it as "lncRNA (ENSECAG00000046738.1)". Lineage: Eukaryota; Metazoa; Chordata; Mammalia; Perissodactyla; Equidae. The record is from RNAcentral.
UUCCCUCAUAGUGGUGCGAUGUGACAGAUGUAGCUGGUCAUGGCCAUGAAGAAGGGAAGGGAAGCUGGGAAGGGGGGAAAGAGGGGAAGGGGGAAAGAGAAGAAGGGAGGGGAGGAAGGAGGGAGGGAGGAAACUGGCAGGCAGGCAGGCAGCCUCUAGAAGCUGGAAAAGGCAAGAAAAUACCUCCCUGGAGCCUCCAAAAGGGAAUGCAUCCCCACUGACACCUCAACUUUAGCCCUGUGAGGUCCAUUUCAGAAUUCUGAACUCCAGAACUUAAUCAGGAUACUCUCCUUUGAUGAAUCUUAAUGCCUUAACUAUGGAACACCGCCCCAGAUCAUCAUGGGUGUUUAUCUAAAAAUCAGUGCAACUGGGAAGUAUUAAGCCUCGAGGGCUAGAACUAUCAGAUUCUUCACAUCAGAAAUAUUUAGAAUAAAGGUAAACCCAGCAUAUGUUAGAGCUAGUUUAGAAGAUUCCAGCGUAUGUGUAAUAAAGAAAUAGCAGCCAGUGAGACACAAACACAUCAGUCAGAUGUCCCUAUGGGACACCACAUGGUGUAGGCCUCCAAAGUGAGGGGGUGAAGUGGUCUCCCCAGCCUUUGCAUUUGGUAUCAAUCUGCAUACACAAAUCAAUGUUAUAAGAUUUAUUCCACAAACAUUUAUUACAAGCCUACUACGUGUCAAUGCUAUGCUAAUUGUUAUUUCUUUUUUUAAUGAAGAUUCUUUUGCUUUCUGGGGCACAUUCCUUUAGUGCAGGGUGAUUAAAGUUGCAGGUUAAAUUAAUAUUAGUAAUGAGCUAAUCUUACCCUUGGGAGCUUGUCCAGCUGGGCCCAAGGUAAUCACAAGGCCCUUAAAAGUGAAAAAGGGAAUCCAAAGAGAAAACCAGAGAGAAGGCAGCAUGAGAAGAAUUAAGCUCAAUGUCACUGGCUUUGCAGAUGUAUGAACGGGGCACAGAGAAGGAAUAAGUGCAGCUUCUAGAAGCUGACAGGGGCAAGAGGACUGAUUGUCCCUUGGAGCCUGCAGAAAGAACAUAGCCAUUCCAACAUCUUAAUUUUAGCCCAUCGAGACCCAUUUUGGACUUCUGACCUCCAAAAGUAUAUUAUUUAAAUUAAAAUUAUCGAAGUCAUCCAAAAGUCUCUGAAGUAUUUCUGUGAGUUCACUCUCCCAACAAUGAGCUAUAACUGAAAAAUGAUGCCAUUCCUGGAAUUCAGAAAAAUAUGAUCUUCAUGAAUCAUUGGAAGUUUCCAGUGGCAAUAGAAAUUCUGAACCGAAGACACAUAACUUAGAACAUCUGUCAGUGAAUGAUGACUUCCCUCACAACUAUGCAGCAGCAUCCAUGAUCAAUUGUGCAUGAGCUGAGUCAAGGUGGAGCUCAGCCAAGACCUUCACCCCACAAGAACAGUGAGGGUGGGACCGACUGCUGACACUGCGCUGAGGCACAGCCAAAGUGCGUGAAUCACAAUGAGGCUGCAGUCACCGCAGUCACAAUUAGUCAGCAGUGGAGUGGUGCAGCCUUCUGGAAAUCUGCAACUGGCUUGAAAGCAAUAGUGCAAGGAGAUAUGUGAACUCUUCAUCCCUUUUGUUUCUUAAGAAAAAGGAUAAAUUUGUAAAAUGUAAAGGGCCCACAAAACGUAGUAGAAAAGAAAUUGACUUUAGAGUCAUCUGACCUGGGAUUAUAUUAAAGGUCUACAUCUUACUGAGAAAUUACCUAGCCUCUCUGAACCUCAUUUUACCCUCCUGCUACCUAGUCUUUAGUUGUUGCGAAGAAUAGACAUAAUUUACUUAUGUAAGGACCCAUUGGGCCAUCAAUAACUGUGUGUACUGGGGAAGCAAACUGGAGAUGGAAUAAUAGAUUCUUUUGUCAUCAAUCUCUUUGUUCACCUGACAAUAUCUUGUUGGAAGUCUCCUGGUUCUUUGCAUGCCUUAAAGACAGCAUUCUAGUUACUAGAAUAAAUUCACUAGUUCUUAGGAGGUUUCUAUGCUCCAGUUGUGACUAUGUGUGAGAACUUCUCUGUAGGAGGUAUCCUAUGUCUUCACAAAGACUCUGUAGGCAGCUUUCUCUACGUAGACAUUUAAAUCUUGUAUGUAGUAUAACCAAUCAGUUUGGUAAAGGACCUUUGAAAUAAUGUGACAUCUACUUUAUUGUGGUAUCAGAACAGAAUUGAAGUCCAUUGAGUCAUUUUGUCCAUCUGCAUGCAUUCUUUCAAAUAGUGCACGUCACUGGGUUAUCUUGCUGUGCAGAGCAUGUUGACCCAGUAUCUCAACUCUGGGCUUAAAAGUAUGAUAUUCAGUUUCAUCAGUGAAAAUAGCAGAGUAGGUAUCUCUCAGGGCCCAUCCCUCCACAGGAACACCAAAAUAUCAGAAAAAAAUUGUCAUAAUCAAUUUUGUUAGAACUCUGGAAAAUAGUCAAAGAAUUAUAGGAACAAAGCAAAUGCUGAACCAAGAAAAAAAUAACUUAAAAAUGGUAGGAAAGCCUUAGGGCGUUUUUACUGGCUCUUGACCCAGUCCUCCCCUGGUGUGGUGUCAGUCUGGAAGAUUGAAGCUCACAUUCCCAAAGUGGGUCCUUGAUCCCUGGGGACUUUACUCUCAAAGAGUUGUGUUUGUCUGUUCUAACCUGCCUGAGGGCUACCUGAAUAACUGAUGCAAGGCAUUUGCCUUUCUUUCACCUAACUAGGAACUUAAACAGGGUGAAAAAGCAGUGAACAUUCUUUGAAGAGAUUAUAAGGUAAAUGAAUAAUCCAUAUGUUUCUGGAGCAAAAGAUUACAGUUGAGACAAAUAAUAGAUUAACUGAAAAUCUGUGAGGAAAAUCUGGGUAAAGAAUUUCUUGGUGAAAUGAUGGCAUUGAAACGUAUCUGUGUACCCUGAGGAAUUUAGAAAGCAUGCUUAUACCUGCACAGAGAGCACAUACGCUCAGAAAAGUCCUAAAAAGACUCUAAGCUUUCACUUGCGCCUUAUCUCUAGACAUAACACAAGCAGAAAGUGAAGACCAAGGCUGAGUUGUUAACAGCCUGGCCAACCGCUGAUGGAGGGCUUGAAAACACAGCCAUAUCACAAAGACUAAGAUUCUUCUCUUCCUUUUCCCGCUUUUUAUUCUUACUCUUUUUAUCUUCCUAUUAUUUUCUUUCUUACUCUCUCUUUCCUCUUUCCUUCCUUCCACUCUUCUUUCCUUUCUUUCUUUCUUUCUUUUCCUGGUAUUCAAGGAAAUAUCAAAACAUUGGCUCAAUAUAAGCUAAAGGAACAGAAACUUCAGAGACCACGUAUGAUAAAGAAUACAGACAGACCUUACAAAAAUAGUUUAGAAAAGUCACUACACAAACAUACAGCCCACAGCAAGCAAAAUAACAAACCCUUAAGAAAAGGAAGGAUCUGAUUUCCAGAGUUACCACAUCAUAGUAUUUGCAAUGUCUAGUUUUCCACAAAAAAAUAAGUAGCAGGCCAAAGAACAAGAAAAUGUCUCAUUUACAGAAAAAAUGAGAAACUGUUCCUGAGAAAGCAGACAUUGGACUU